Long non-coding RNA from Dermacentor andersoni, 470 nucleotides. RefSeq lists it as uncharacterized. The record is from RefSeq and is a predicted model, not a curated record. NCBI's taxonomy places the organism in Eukaryota, Metazoa, Arthropoda, Arachnida, Ixodida, Ixodidae.
AGCCGAGGGAGAUCGUGUGUCGGCCAUCUCGCGUCGCCACGAAAACACAACAGUCGUUCGUCAUGCCUUGGAUAUAACAACAAAUCCUCCACGGCACCCGCUUUAUAUAACGCAAGAAGGCAGCUGCAAGGACACGAGGAUGUGAAAGAGCCAGUGCAGCGCGACUUCACGUAGUGCAGAGGAGCCAAUGCCAAAAAAUCAAAAUACAUUGGCAUGUUAUUUGGACAAGAAAACUAGGACAACCCAGGACGUGCAUUUCUCAGCACCCAGUCAACUGCCAAAAGUGACUCAAACACAGGCCACCAGUGGAACUCGGCUGUACCACUGCAGUGCUGCGGAAAUUGCCUUCACCAGCGGCUUUGCAACAGCUGUUUCGCAGCAUGUCGGAGACAAUGCCUACGAAAUUAUUGGCCCUGAUCAUGAGAGCCCUCAAGGGGCAAACAACAUCUCUGUUGCAGAAGUGAGCCCGA